This 485-nucleotide ribosomal RNA is filed under the name Granulicatella elegans. RNAcentral's name for it is "bacterial SSU rRNA". It matches the Rfam family "Bacterial small subunit ribosomal RNA", at positions 28 to 494 of the family's 1533-position model. The record is from RNAcentral. Lineage: Bacteria; Bacillati; Bacillota; Bacilli; Lactobacillales; Carnobacteriaceae.
GACGAACGCUGGCGGCGUGCCUAAUACAUGCAAGUCGAACGAGAGCGACCGGUGCUUGCACUGGUCAAUCUAGUGGCGAACGGGUGAGUAACACGUGGGUAACCUGCCCAUCAGAGGGGGAUAACAUUCGGAAACGGAUGCUAAAACCGCAUAGGUUCUUGAGUCGCAUGACCCGAGAAGGAAAAGAGGCUUCGGCUUCUGCUGAUGGAUGGACCCGCGGUGCAUUAGCUAGUUGGUGAGGUAACGGCUCACCAAGGCCGUGAUGCAUAGCCGACCUGAGAGGGUGAUCGGCCACAUUGGGACUGAGACACGGCCCAAACUCCUACGGGAGGCAGCAGUAGGGAAUCUUCCGCAAUGGACGCAAGUCUGACGGAGCAACGCCGCGUGAGUGAAGAAGGAUUUCGGUUCGUAAAACUCUGUUGUUAGAGAAGAACAGCGCAUAGAGUAACUGUUAUGCGUGUGACGGUAUCUAACCAGAAAGCCAC